ACGGACAGGAGACAUGCUGUUUUGUUGAAGUGCGAGAGUAACUUUUAUUGAUAUUAUUGUCAUUUUAUUUGUGUUGCCAUAGGCAAACUCACCGUUUGUAGAUUACACUUGGAUUAUUUAUCACAAAAGAAGAUAUACGUAUGGUGGCUGGGAAGUGCAAAGCACAUUUACAACAUAGACAACAAAAUAACAUUUUAGAAAACACUUCUACAUAAAAAAAGGCAAAUAAAAAAAUUGACAACAAAAUAACAAGUCCGCAACAAAUUAACAAGUGGCUCUUGACGGAAAGGGAUUGUCUGAAAUACCGGAAGUGACUCAACAAUGUUUCUGGCCCAAACAAAGCGCUAGCGGAAGAGGAGCGAAAGCACACGGAUAACACCAGCUAUGGUUCCUUCUUGCUGUGCGGUCGGUUGUAAUGUUAGAUUGCACGACCGACAAGGGAAUAAGCUUGAAAUGGUUUAUCUUUUCAUUCUUUCCCCACCUGGAAGCAACAUGAGGCAGCUCAUGUAUCAGAUGUUACCAAAAGAAGACGUCUAGUCUGGAUAGCAGCUGUGAGACGAGCUGAUAUCCAGCUCUCUUCCAUCUCCAAAUAUCUGUUGGUGCUCCAGACAUUUUCAUUCCGGCAAACCAGCCUAUGAAAUGGAUGAAACACAUCGUGACUGGGUUCCAGCGCUACACAAGGGGCACUCCGAAAUCCCUGCUUCAAACAUACCGCCAUGCCAAUCAGAUUACUUCUUCCAUGUGAGGGUGAAGAUGUGACCCUUCUGGAUAAGAUGGUGAAGGUUUGCUGCGUUUUGGUGAA
This is a long non-coding RNA of Oreochromis niloticus (Nile tilapia), 802 nucleotides long. RefSeq lists it as uncharacterized. Lineage: Eukaryota; Metazoa; Chordata; Actinopteri; Cichliformes; Cichlidae. The record is from RefSeq and is a predicted model, not a curated record. The transcript is spliced from 2 exons.